CAAACACUCAUAUUUCGGCCCAUGAGGCCCAUUAAACUUAAUAUAUAAGCCACCACUUUUCCCUAUAUCACUUCACACGACUUAAACAGAUCCAAGAACCCUUAUUUUCUCUCCCAAACCCCCUUUCUAAUUGAGCCAUCAUAUAAGCUAAAUCCUAGACCCUUGACAUGAUAUUAGUUAAAGAGAAGUUGUAGCCUAAGUUUUCCUUGUGUUGUAAGCAAGAAGCUGGAAAGAGGAACAAGAUUCUUGAAGAUUCUGAUUGUUAAAGGAUAAGUGUUUUUGGGCAGCAAGUACAAGUUAUAAUACGACUAAACGCUAAAGGUACAGACGUUCAUUUCGGAGAUCCGCCAGCUUAGGACACUUAUUCAGCUAUUUUGACUGCUCCUUUGUUCCGGAGCCUAGCUUGUGGUAUAACUCCCUUAUGUUGAAUUCAUAUGAGUUUAUUUGGGUACGGCGGGGCCCUGUCCCGCCAUAUGAUACGGUCAUUACUCUUAGAGGUCUGUGGACAUUUGUGUGGGUCUGUUUAUGGUUGUUGACGCGUUUUAUGAUUAUGACAUAUGUUUGGGGCGUACCCAUUCGU
Lycium barbarum (goji berry) is the source of this 580-nucleotide long non-coding RNA. RefSeq lists it as uncharacterized. The transcript has 3 exons. The record is from RefSeq and is a predicted model, not a curated record. Lineage: Eukaryota; Viridiplantae; Streptophyta; Magnoliopsida; Solanales; Solanaceae.